AGGGUUUGAUCAUGGCUCAGAUUGAACGCUGGCGGCAUGCCUUACACAUGCAAGUCGAACGGCAGCACGGGAGCUUGCUCCUGGUGGCGAGUGGCGAACGGGUGAGUAAUAUAUCGGAACGUACCCUAGAGUGGGGGAUAACGCAGCGAAAGUUGCGCUAAUACCGCAUACGAUCUACGGAUGAAAGUGGGGGAUCGCAAGACCUCAUGCUCAUGGAGCGGCCGAUAUCUGAUUAGCUAGUUGGUAGGGUAAAAGCCUACCAAGGCUUCGAUCAGUAGCUGGUCUGAGAGGACGACCAGCCACACUGGAACUGAGACACGGUCCAGACUCCUACGGGAGGCAGCAGUGGGGAAUUUUGGACAAUGGGCGCAAGCCUGAUCCAGCCAUUCCGCGUGAGUGAAGAAGGCCUUCGGGUUGUAAAGCUCUUUCGCAAGGGAAGAAAGAUUAUCCUCUAACAUAGGAUGAUUAUGACGGUACCUUGAUAAGAAGCACCGGCUAACUACGUGCCAGCAGCCGCGGUAAUACGUAGGGUGCGAGCGUUAAUCGGAAUUACUGGGCGUAAAG
RNAcentral lists this ribosomal RNA (564 nucleotides) under uncultured bacterium. RNAcentral describes it as "bacterial SSU rRNA". It matches the Rfam family "Bacterial small subunit ribosomal RNA", at positions 8 to 565 of the family's 1533-position model. The record is from RNAcentral.